CAACAUUUUAUGGUCAAGCACACCUCUAUCAUCCAUAAGCCUCAUUACAUUACAUGUCUAAACUGUACUUUUACAUAACAUCAAAUACAUUUAUCAUGUCCACACUAUCUAUUACAUAAACAAGACUUCAAUACUCUUGCUGACCUCCUGGUCUACCCUGUGCCUGCAAACCUGGGGGAUUAGGGAGAGGGGUGAGCUACU
RNAcentral lists this long non-coding RNA (201 nucleotides) under Manihot esculenta (cassava). RNAcentral's name for it is "long non-coding RNA (MESC_LNC012908)". Lineage: Eukaryota; Viridiplantae; Streptophyta; Magnoliopsida; Malpighiales; Euphorbiaceae. The record is from RNAcentral.